Molecule: long non-coding RNA, 401 nt
Organism: Ictalurus punctatus (channel catfish)
Lineage: Eukaryota; Metazoa; Chordata; Actinopteri; Siluriformes; Ictaluridae
Source: Ensembl
AAAUGUUUAGGCACAAAUUGAGUUUAGUGUAAUGUAUAUUGUUUAUAUAAAUCUUUAAUUGUAAUGUGAUUACAGUAUAAGGUCUUAAAAUGUUACCUACUCUCAUUUGAGGGGUUUUUUUUUUUCUCAGAUACGGAACUGACACAAACUCCACAAACAGAAGCAGGUGUGUCCUUAAAAAAUCUAUUUCAGUAUAAUUCAUAAAUAAACUAUUAAUCAUUCAACUUUUUAUUUCACUUUGUUCUUUAAAGACUUAUAUUUUAUUAUUCUGACAAUGAACCAAUAUUGUUUUUUCUUUUCUUUAAUUUGUUUAAAAUGUUUUGGAACCAAAACAAAAGGAACCUGGGAAACAACAGCAGGUGGAGUUUUAAUGUUGAAAUUGAUUUUACUUCAUGAUUAAU